AAAUUGUUCACAAUCCCAAAUUUUUGAGCUAAUCCGGAUAAUAGAACUGCAUGAGAAGUCAUUAUCAGAGACUAGCAUAAAAGAUAAGAAACACAUACAGAGGUUGGAAGAAGAGCUAUUGAACUGCUCUCAAAAAAUAGAUUACCUUAACGAUCAGCUU
Neltuma alba is the source of this 160-nucleotide long non-coding RNA. RefSeq lists it as uncharacterized. NCBI's taxonomy places the organism in Eukaryota, Viridiplantae, Streptophyta, Magnoliopsida, Fabales, Fabaceae. The transcript has 3 exons. The record is from RefSeq and is a predicted model, not a curated record.